GGAGGGUGACAGAUAAGAGGUGACCAGGUGGGUGGGGUUUCCGACCGUACGACACCUGACACCCCCGAUCUGGAUCCGACGGCUCCCGCGGGUGUGCGCUCGGGAAAACACGCCCGCCCUCACCGUCUGCAUUCCUGCUGCCGUCUUACCUUCUCGUCCCUGUUACGUCGUUCCUGUUCCACUCGACCGAAAAUUCCCGAUCGGGCAACCAGAUGGAAGCCGACGCCGCCUCCUCGCUCAACCCCCGGGCGCCAGAGGAAGCCUCACAAGAGGAUCCCUCGCCAGCGCGCUUCUCCUCCACCGGCGCGGCUGCCCCCUCGACCACGGUGACGUCUCCCGGGGCAAGGGAGGUGGCGGCGGCGAUGGAGGCAGUGGAGCGAGACGCCGCCGCCAUCGCCGAGAGCUACGCCUCCCUAUUCGCCUCCCUCCGCAUCACACUGUCCAACGUUACCUCGACGUCAGCCGAUAACAUGGAGUGCUUGGGCGAAGUUGUAGGCCGCCUCCAGGAGUCAGCACUUGAAGCGUCUUCCAGAGGCAAUAAGUACAUCCAUUCAUGCCUGAGGUUAAAUGAGGAAAUGCGAGGCUUGGAAAGCCUAAGUAUGCAGCUAUUAUGCGGAAGAUCGUUGAUUCACUAGAUUUGGCUGUUGAUCGGCUGCUCCACCUCCCGUAGUUCAUGCAUCUAUCAAUAGCUUCUACAAGGAACUUCUGAUGAAAUUUAUAUUCACCAAGUAGCUGUCACAUUUGAAGAGGCAACCGACUACUGUAAAUCUGAAGUGGCGUGUACAAGCAACGGAGAAGUUUUCCUCUUCCACGACAUGACAAAAUUCUCCCAACUCUUCGACUUUAUUGUUCUUCGUUAUGUGUAUUUGGGAUCAAUGAUAUGUAUUUGUUGAGAAAUAACUAUUUGCAACUCUUCCAUCCUUUAGGGCAUAUUCAAUAGAUUGUAUGUUAGUCUUGUUGGUAAAAUGUCCAUGUCAUCAACCAACAAGCUAUCAUACAACUACUCCAAUGGGUUGUAUCUAAGGUAUCCAAUAGAUGAUGAGAAAAUAAAUGUGAUUGCUCUCUAUUUCA
RNA transcript from Triticum aestivum (bread wheat), 1071 nucleotides. RefSeq lists it as uncharacterized. The transcript is spliced from 6 exons. Lineage: Eukaryota; Viridiplantae; Streptophyta; Magnoliopsida; Poales; Poaceae. The record is from RefSeq and is a predicted model, not a curated record.